Molecule: unclassified non-coding RNA, 279 nt
Filed under: plant metagenome
Description: partial contains small subunit ribosomal RNA, internal transcribed spacer 1, and 5.8S ribosomal RNA
Source: RNAcentral
UUUCCGUAGGUGAACCUGCGGAAGGAUCAUUAUUGUAUAACCGAGGCGCUAGGGCUAUCGCUGACCCGAAUGGCCAUGCACGCACGAGUGCCCUGACACACACCCAUCCCCCCCCUAUGUGCACCACCGCGACUGUCCCCCUUUGGCGUGUUCGGCGGGGGGCUUACGUUUUAACUCAAUCUCUGUAUGCAGUGUAAAAUGUAUUUUUUGUUUUUGUGAACACAAAAUCAAUACCACUUUCAACAAUGGAUCUCUUGUCUCUCGCAUCGAUGAAGAACC